CAAUGAUCCAAACCUUUUUCUUUUCCACAAACUGUGAUGUCUGGUGUGUUGUGUUCCAGAACUUUGUCAGUCUGGAUUCGGAAGUCCCACAGUCUCUUUGCCUGCUCAUUUUCCAUUACUUUUGCAGUACUAUUAUUAUUAUUAUUAUUAUUAUUAUUAUUAUUAUUAUUAUUAUUAUUUCCUUCUUUUCUUCCUGCCCUGUUCCUUCCUUCCUUCCUUCCUUCCUUCCUUCCUUCCUUCCUUCCUUCCUUCCUUCCUCAGAGGAGGAGGGCUAGAUACCUGCCCACUCUCUCCUUUCCACCCUGGGUAUAAGACUCACAAGACUAAAGGUAAACUUCUCAAGGACCAGCUGGGACCCCACUCCCUCCUUCCAACCCCUAUGGAAGGUGACAUCAGCCCUGGUUCCCACCAGACCUAGACAACGAUGGGUUCCAAAGUGUCAACGGGCCAAGAAGCAGGACUGAUGGCCACACACACACCUCCUCACCACCCUUCUUUCCUUCCUUCCUUCCUUCCUUUUUCUCCUUCCUUCCUUCCCCUUGAAUCCAGGAGCACCCUGACCUCCACCAAGGAUGGAACUGAGCCAAACCUGGCAGACGGAACCCCAGCCGGUGGCCUUCCCUAUGCAAUUCCAAAGUGGGACAAAUCCUGGUCUAACUGUCUAACAGUUCAGCCUAUGACGAGGAGUAAUUUAACCCUUUGGCCCCGGGAAAUGUGCUGAGCAAAGGCCCACCGAGGCCAGUGGCACUCAAUUUAGCCCUGGCCAGAGUCCAGCCGAUUUCCAUCAAAUUAGGCCUGGCCCAAACACAACAGGGUCUGGCUGCUUCUUUUGUAAUUUAUUUGCCUUGUAUUUACUGGCACCCAUGAAUAGCAAAAGGAAGCUCUGGAAUAUGUGAGAGAAAGGCUGGGGGGGGGGGGUGGAACUUGUGAGUUGUUGCUUGUGUGUUUUGCUGGGAGGUCUGCACAUUCCCAGGUAUCUUUUUAAUCUGGGUUAAAUCUAGGCUUCCUGUUUUUCCCCAGGUUAAAUCAACAUUAUCCGCCCAGGGUUGUUUGGAUGUUUCUGGUUCGGCUUCUCCAUCUUAGUUUGUUGCUCGAUGCAAGUGGAUGGACGCAACGCACAAUUGCACGUCACAUCACAACAGCGGCCCCUUGAUGCUCCAAGUCACAACUUGGGCCGUUUUACUUUUAAUUACUCUGAUUUUAUCUACUUGGAUUUUAAUGUAUUGUCCAUGAUUUUAUUUUGUGUAUUGCUGGAAUGUUUUAUGUUUUUGUCAAAUAUGUUGUGUCCUUGUUUCGGGCUUGUCCCUGUUGUGAGCCGCCCCGAGUCCCUUCGGGGAGAUGGGGCGGGAUAUAAAAAUAAAGUUUAUUAUUAUUAUUAUUAUUAUUAUUAUUAUUAUUAUUAUUAUUAUUAUUAUUAUUUUCCUGCAGAUUUCCUGCAGUUGGCAAGUCCCGUCGCGGCACCUUUCUUGCCAGGAUCCGACAAAGAGACAAGCGCUGCCCAGAGUUUUGUGCCAAGGCCCGUGCGUGGCUUCGGAACAAAAGGGAUCGCGAUGCUCAGGGCCGGGUCCAGAAGGUUCUGAAUGCUCAGGAUAUCAUUGGACUAGACCACAGGUAAGUAAAGAGACCUCCAAAGACAAUCUGGAUGGUCUCAUAAGGUAAGGAAAGGGACCCUCAAAGGCCAUCUAGAUGAUCUCAUCAGGCCAUCAGAAGACCAUAGAUAAGAAAAGGGACCUCAAAGACCACCUAGGUGGUUUCAUAAGACCAUCGGUAAGGAAAGGGACCCUCAAAGGCCAUCUAGAUGAUCUCAUCAGGCCAUCAGAAGACCAUAGAUAAGAAAAGGGACCUCAAAGACCACCUAGGUGGUUUCAUAAGACCAUCGGUAAGGAAAGGGACCCUCAAAGGCCAUCUAGACGGUCUCAUAGGACCAUCGGUAAGGAAGGUGACCUCCAAAAGCCAUCUAGAUGGUCUCAAAAGGCCGGAGCUAAGCAAAGAGACCUUCAAAGACUAUCUAGACCAGGGGUCCCCAAACUAAGGCCCGGGGGCCACAUGCGGCCCAUCGAAGCCAUUUAUCCGGCCCCCACAGCACAAAGGCAGAAGGGGGUUGGGCUAAAUGACCCAAGGGUUCUCCUCUUCUCUUCUAUUAUUAUUAUUAUUGUUGUUGUUGUUAAUAUUAUUAACAUUGAGGUGGAGAGGCCAUCUGUCAGGGGUACUUUGCUUGUGCUUUUGGUGCAAAAAGGCAGAAGGGGGUUGCACUCAAUGGCCCAAGGGGUCUCUUCCAACCCUCUUUAUUAUUGUUGUUGUUGUUGUUGUUGUUAUUGCUUGGUGGCCAACUAUAGUCCGGCCCUCCAAUGGUCUAAAGGAUCGUGAACUGGCCCCCUGCUUAAAAAGUUUGGGGACCCCUGAUCUAGACAAUCUCAUAAGACCAUAGGUAAGCAAAGAGACCUCCAAAAACCAGGUAGACUUAGGUCAACCCUAAGUCUAAAGUUUAGGACAAGGGCCUGGUAAAUCACCUUGGGGGGCUACAUCCGGCCCCCAGGCCUUAGUUUGGGGACCCCUGGACUAGACAAUCCCCUAAAGAACCUGCUUCCCAUCAAGACCUAAAAUCUGUCCUGGGCCCAGACUGUGGUCUCCACCCAAGGAUAUGGCUCACUCCUACUCAUCGGACUCAUGCGCUUUGUCCAUUUGCCCUGUUUUCAAAAGCGAGUUGCGCCAGCGCAGUUCAGUCAGUGCAGUCCAAUCUGGCCAAACAAGGAUUCAAAGGAAGGAGCCAGGCUUCAAAGCGGCUCUUUGAUUGAGGGUGCGACUCCAGCUGCUCCAGAAAACGGCCAGGCUUUGAGGCUGCAAGGCUAUUCCCUGCUAUUCCACCUGGCCAACAAAGGAUUCCCAUAAGCCACAGCAACACGUGGCCAGGCAAAGCUAGUUUUAUAUAAAGUUUUAUUAUUAUUAUUUUAGUAUGACACAGCAAACAAGAUACACAUGCUGGAUUUCGUAUCACGAAAUCACAAGUCGAACACUUCCCAAGUGUCUAGGACUGUGUGAUGUAUUUUCGGAUGAUGCGUGCAGAUCCCAGCAGGGUGGCCUUUUGCAGUUGGCAGAUUGUGAUUUUGUCAAUGUCUAUUGUUUCCAAAUGCCGGCUGAGCUCUUUUGGCACGGCACCCAGUGUGCCCAUCACCACCGGGACCACCUGUACUGGUUUCUGCCAGAGUCUUUGCAGUUCAAUCUUGAGGUCCUGAGAGCGGCUGAGUUUUUCCUGUUGUUUUUCGUCAAUGCGACUGCCACCUGGGAUGGCGACAUCAAUGAUCCAAACCUUUUUCUUUUCCACAACUGUGAUGUCAGAAACGACAACAGAAGCCUCUCUCCGUCCAGGUCUAACACGGCCCCGAACGGCCCUUUGCGGCCGACAGAAGUGAUGCCAAACCACCUUCAGCGCCUUCCAUCUCGGCCGUCGAUGUUUGAGGCCGGAAGACUCCACAAACAGCAUUUCAUUGGAUUCCUAAUGUCUUUUGGCUGAUGUUUUGGGCGGGCUUUGGUGGCUAAAGGCUUCCAUAGGUGGGCCGGAGGCAGAGCGACUCGCACCCGCGCUCCCACUCACGCUUUGAGCCACUCUGCCGCCCACCCACGCCAAAGAAAAUAAUAAAACAAUGCAUUUGUGUUUUUGCAA
This is a long non-coding RNA of Anolis carolinensis (green anole), 3661 nucleotides long. RefSeq lists it as uncharacterized. The transcript has 2 exons. The record is from RefSeq and is a predicted model, not a curated record. Lineage: Eukaryota; Metazoa; Chordata; Lepidosauria; Squamata; Anolidae.